Molecule: long non-coding RNA, 362 nt
Filed under: Malus domestica (apple)
Lineage: Eukaryota; Viridiplantae; Streptophyta; Magnoliopsida; Rosales; Rosaceae
Description: long non-coding RNA (MDOM_LNC013372)
Source: RNAcentral
AUUAAUUGUUAGCCUAUAUUGAGCUAUAUUUUAAUAUAUCAUAUUUUCUAUAAAAACCAUGAACUGGUAGACUAUCUGAUGGAUGACGAUGGGAUGCUAGAACAUAUUUUAGAAAACCCCUCUUUACAGUAUAGACGAUAGAUGACUUUAUACUAUGAAGUGGUUAUUUUUUAGAGGCAUAACUAUUUGCGCAUGCAUAAAAACUUUUCAUUUCUUUUUUAUAUCCAUUGCCUCUUCAAGGGCAUUACAUUAUCUCUUCCAGGGUAGUUGUAAUUUAGAGAAUGUGGACAUAACCUCCUCUUGAGCGUUAUAGAGCUUGGAUCUUAAUCUCCACUUCUGGGAGUUGAGUCAUUUGGAACCUA